ACGCGAUAAACCUUACCAACGUUUGACAUCCCUAGUGUGGUUACCAGAGAUGGUUUCCUUCAGUUCGGCUGGCUAGGUGACAGGUGCUGCAUGGCUGUCGUCAGCUCGUGUCGUGAGAUGUUGGGUUAAGUCCCCGCAACGAGCGCAACCCUCGCCUUUAGUUGCCAUCAUUCAGUUGGGCACUCUAAAGGAACCGCCGGUGAUAAGCCGGAGGAAGGUGGGGAUGACGUCAAGUCCUCAUGGCCCUUAC
This 250-nucleotide ribosomal RNA is filed under the name uncultured bacterium. Its description in RNAcentral is "partial 16S ribosomal RNA". It matches the Rfam family "Bacterial small subunit ribosomal RNA", at positions 959 to 1205 of the family's 1533-position model. The record is from RNAcentral.